UGAGGAAUAUUGGUCAAUGGACGCAAGUCUGAACCAGCCACGUCGCGUGAAGGAAGACGGCCCUAUGGGUUGUAAACUUCUUUUGUAAGGGAAUAAAGUGCAGUACGUGUACUGUUUUGCAUGUACCUUACGAAUAAGGAUCGGCUAACUCCGUGCCAGCAGCCGCGGUAAUACGGAGGAUCCGAGCGUUAUCCGGAUUUAUUGGGUUUAAAGGGUGCGCAGGCGGGAGAUUAAGUCGGCGGUGAAAUUUUGCAGCUUAACUGUAAAAGUGCCAUCGAUACUGGUUUCCUUGAGUGUAGAUGAAGUAGGCGGAAUUUGUGGUGUAGCGGUGAAAUGCAUAGAUAUUGCACAGAACACCGAUUGCGAAGGCAGCUUACCAAGCUAUUAUUGACGCUGAGGCACGAAAGCGUGGGGAUCGAACAGG
RNAcentral lists this ribosomal RNA (424 nucleotides) under uncultured prokaryote. RNAcentral describes it as "bacterial SSU rRNA". It matches the Rfam family "Bacterial small subunit ribosomal RNA", at positions 355 to 776 of the family's 1533-position model. The record is from RNAcentral.